CUUGUGGAGUCAUCCUUGAAAUACCACCCUUGUCGCUCUUGUUGUCUAACCGCGACCCGUGAAACCGGGUCCGGGACCCUGCGUGGUGGGUAGUUUGACUGGGGCGGUCGCCUCCCAAAGAGUAACGGAGGCGCCCAAAGGUUCCCUCAGAAUGGUCGGAAACCAUUCGAAGAGUGCAAAGGCAGAAGGGAGCUUGACUGCGACACCGACGGGUGGAGCAGGUACGAAAGUAGGACUUAGUGAUCCGGUGGUAUUAAGUGGGAAUGCCAUCGCUCAACGGAUAAAAGCUACCCUGGGGAUAACAGGCUUAUCUCCC
This 316-nucleotide ribosomal RNA is filed under the name Cyclophora tenuis. Its description in RNAcentral is "partial Bacterial large subunit ribosomal RNA". It matches the Rfam family "Bacterial large subunit ribosomal RNA", at positions 2177 to 2491 of the family's 2925-position model. Lineage: Eukaryota; Bacillariophyta; Fragilariophyceae; Cyclophorales; Cyclophoraceae. The record is from RNAcentral.